This 1661-nucleotide long non-coding RNA is filed under the name Mus musculus (house mouse). Its description in RNAcentral is "long non-coding RNA chr6:148831451-148833112". The record is from RNAcentral. Lineage: Eukaryota; Metazoa; Chordata; Mammalia; Rodentia; Muridae.
AUUCACCUUUUACGACAGCCGGUGGGAGGUGGAAGAGGAAACGGAGACUCCUUUACGGCUGCCUCUUCCCCUGGCGUGCUGCACUGACCAGCACCCGCCAGAGACGCCAUGAUGCUCGUCUCAGGAGCCGGCAUUCAUUGCACAGCGGUGCUGCUACAGGAAGUCGCUCAAGUUUGUUCCAAACACCAGACUCCCGCAGACGGCCGCCAUGAUGCGGUACGGAAAUCCUAGCUUGUCCACCCACUGGUGUGACCAAAGUAAGUUAAUUGGCCUGGCAUCUAUUUACAGUUGUUGCAAAUUAGGCAUAUCUAAAGGGAGUGGUACUUUUUGUUCGAGAACUCUGAACAUCACAACUGAGCUGUUUCAAGACAAACUUACUGGAAUCCUGAACUUACGUAGCUUACAGAAGAGGUUUCCUUUAAUGUUUGAGCGCCACCCUUUAUCCUGCCAUUCAUUCUUUGAACAUUUGUUAAAAAUGUUUACAGACAGGCACCAUGUUAUAAUAACAAGAUAAAAUUUAAUGCAGGUUUGUAUGUAUGAAAACUCAAAAUCUAAUAGAUAAUCAAAUGUGUGUGUGUGUGUGUGUGUGUGUGUGUGUUUCUCUUUAGAGUGUAAAAACACAAAAAUGCAGUAGUCAAGGAAACUAUAUGACCAAAAGUGCCCAAAAUGUCCAGACUUUCACUGUGAAAGGCAAGAAGGGUUAUGCUGUUUCCAUCUACAACUGCAAAGCAUACAAAACAUAAAGUAAAGAUGAUUGUGGGCAAAUGCUGCUGAGAUGUGAUCCUCCAAGGAGCAUAUAAUUACGAUGUAUUGGUUCAAUUAAAUUUAAGAACAGUGUAGAAAAUGAGACAGGAUGUAUGCUAUAUGACUGAUUGCUUCCAGCAAUGCCCAUUUCAGUCCAUUAUGCACACAGCCAUCAGAAUGAAAAAUGCAUUUUCAAUUUGAAAUGUUACCUUUGCUACCUGCACCCCCAAUUUCCUUUACUUAUGAUAUCAACUCUAAUAGACCUUUGAGUGGAAACAUCUAGUUUCUUUGGAAAGUUAUGUCAAAUGAUGGUUUGCAGGAGCACACAGGUGGAUGUCAGUGCUAAAGCAGACACAGGUAAAAGGAUAUUUUGCUGGAGCAGACACAGGAAAAAAGUUUUUCCUCUAGCAGACACAGGUGAAAGGAUGUCUUGAUAUAGCAAACACGUGAAAGGAUGCUUGAUGAAGGAGUAUAAAUAUGACCCCCAAAGACAGUGGGAAACAAGCAAUGAGCGUUGGUUUGCUCUGCCUUGCUAACACUCUAUGAGCCUUCUAUUGUUGCGUUCAACUUGUGGUAACACCAGCACUGAGAAAAAUUCGUCCAAGAACUGCUUGUGAAGUUCCUGCAGCAGCUAGUAGCUUCUGCUGGUGAACCUGGCAAUUUCUUCAGGAUUGAACAACAGCUUCUGGUUCCUGCCUAGUGUCUGCCUGCCUAGAGAACUGGUCUGCAGCUGCUGAGUCUUAUUUGGUGAUUGCUACAGGACUGAACUACUGAGAAAGAUCAAGCUCACCCACAAAGAAAUACUGCUGAACAGGCUCACUCUCCCCGUACCCUAAUAACUUUUCUCUUCCACUACUUCUGCUGGAUGGUGGGCUAAAGGAGAGGGUGAACUCUUAUUAAAGUAGGUUGCAAAAAAU